GCCGCCCUAGCUCAGAGGUAGAGCACAUCCAUGGUAAGGAUGGGGUCACGGGUUCAAUUCCCGUGGGCGGCUCCA
RNAcentral lists this transfer RNA (75 nucleotides) under Candidatus Peregrinibacteria bacterium. RNAcentral's name for it is "tRNA-Thr". It matches the Rfam family "tRNA". Rfam says of the family: Transfer RNA (tRNA) molecules are approximately 80 nucleotides in length. Lineage: Bacteria; Candidatus Peregrinibacteriota. The record is from RNAcentral. RNAcentral also lists the same sequence under 2 other names.